AGAGUUUGAUCAUGGCUCAGGAUGAACGCUGGCGGCGUGCCUAACACAUGCAAGUCGAGCGAAGCACUUUACUUUGAUUCUUCGGAUGAAGAGUUUUGUGACUGAGCGGCGGACGGGUGAGUAACGCGUGGGUAACCUGCCUCAUACAGGGGGAUAACAGUUAGAAAUGACUGCUAAUACCGCAUAAGACCACAGCACCGCAUGGUGCAGGGGUAAAAACUCCGG
Molecule: ribosomal RNA, 225 nt
Filed under: uncultured bacterium
Lineage: Bacteria
Description: partial 16S ribosomal RNA
Rfam family: Bacterial small subunit ribosomal RNA
Source: RNAcentral